This is a non-coding RNA of Cinara cedri, 273 nucleotides long. Lineage: Eukaryota; Metazoa; Arthropoda; Insecta; Hemiptera; Aphididae. The record is from the annotation of a GenBank genome assembly.
UUUUUUUUAAAUUACUAUAUAUUUAUAUAGGUAUCAUCAUUAUCAUUUAACGAUUUAACUUUGAGCCUAGAAACCAGAAAAGAGGAAGAAGUAGAAGAGUAUAGUUAGGAUUUUAUGAAGCUGGUUUAAUUUCAUAAAGAUAUGUUUUUUCUACAGUUUCUCAUAGUACCUUAUAUAUGCCUGUUUUCUGUUUGAUAGUGCCAAUUUUAGUUAUGCUCAAGUUAACUGAGCACCUUUAAUAAUUGUUUUAUGAUUGAAAAAAAUUGAGGUUUU